AACGAACGCUGGCGGCAUGCCUAACACAUGCAAGUCGAACGAGACCUUCGGGUCUAGUGGCGCACGGGUGCGUAACGCGUGGGAAUCUGCCCUUGGGUUCGGAAUAACAGUUAGAAAUGACUGCUAAUACCGGAUAAUGUCUUCGGACCAAAGAUUUAUCGCCCAGGGAUGAGCCCGCGUAGGAUUAGCUAGUUGGUGAGGUAAAGGCUCACCAAGGCGACGAUCCUUAGCUGGUCUGAGAGGAUGAUCAGCCACACUGGACUGAGACACGGCCCAGACUCCUACGGAGGCGAGCAGUGGGGAAUAUUGGACAA
This 314-nucleotide ribosomal RNA is filed under the name uncultured bacterium. RNAcentral describes it as "bacterial SSU rRNA". It matches the Rfam family "Bacterial small subunit ribosomal RNA", at positions 29 to 371 of the family's 1533-position model. The record is from RNAcentral.